GGUGUAUUUGCACCAGGGAAGCUCUUAUUCUUCUAUCUAUUCUGUCUUUAGUUGCCCAUAUUUUAGGAUUAUUUCUGUCUCUAUGAGGGGGAGUCAGUGUGCCUGACCUGGGUGCGUAUUCAUUACAGUCCUUAAACAACAUAAAAUGUCUCUCCCCAGGAGAACUGGAACUUCAGGCUCAAUUAAAAGGAAUGAGUGAGGAGAAAGCUGUCUCAGUUAUAGCCUGAGGGUUGUGAGAAAUAGUGAGUUAGCUCCUUUCACUGAAGUAUGGUGGCUGGAAGGAAGGCCAGGGCUGAAAAGCAGGACUGAGAGACACACCAGUGUCCAGCAAAAGGCUGGUUUCUUUUCCCUCUACAGUUAUGAUUGCUCAGGGCUUCUCCAAGGAGAUGACAGACUGGCCAGAGGAAGCAGGCAGAGGGCCUUGGAUCCUUCAGUCUUGCUGGACCGGCUGGGAAAUGGGUCUGACCCUCAGGUCCUUCACCUCGAGCUGCAGUCCAGCUCCAGUGGUCACCUUUGCCAUCAAGGCACAGCUGGGGACCUCUUACUGCAGUCCCUGCUAAGGUGGCCUCCUAAGGUUUCCCACAGUGGUGGAAGAGGGGAAGAACCUGGAAUCCCACUGCAGAAAGAUUCCAAGCACCACAAAACCCAGGAAUAUUUAUUUGUGAAGCAGCAGGAGAACCUCAGCCAGAUGACACAACUGUAUUGAUUCGUCCUGAGAUAACACUCACAGAGAUGGAAGACUUGGCAAUGUUCACGCCACCUCCCGCCAUUGUGGCAGACCAGCACGGUAUCAGAAAGCGAGUUCUGAAACUAGAAUUGGGCUGAAGGAAGUGAGGAGAAUCAUGUUGAAUGACAUUUCGCUAGGUAACACGGUGACAUAUUCAGCUACAGUAGGAUGGUAUUUCUGAUGUAACAGAAAAAAAAUUGAAACUAGUAUUUAUAAAACCACAUGCUUAUUUGAAAAAGAGUUAAGUUGCCAUUGAAAUUUGUCAUAUUUGAAGUGAAGUGCUGGAACUCUGUAUCUCUGAGAAGAUAUUUUAGCUUCAUACUUAUUGUUUGCAUCACACAGAUUUUUUUAUAUACACCCCUUCCAACCAGUACACAGCACUGGCAUGAAGAACCUUGUUGAUAUUUUCAACUAAACAUCAACUGUGAUACACGCAGCUCAAUUCUUAAGAGAUAAUCUGUUUUUCACAUUACCAAGAAAUUAAGUUUCUUUAACAUCUAAAAUAAGUUUUCAAGUUCUUCUAAAAAGGUUCCUUUUAGUCCUGAUAUUUAUCCAGGUACCAAUAAAUAAUAAAUUAUAGCUGUUACUGACAAAUUAAUUUGUUUUCUCUUUUAUAAUAUACUUUCUAAAUUAUAUAUUCAAAUAUUUUUGGUACUAGGGAUUAAACCCAAAACCUUUGCACUGGGCUACAUUCUCAGUCUUUUUAAGAAAAUUCAUUUUUGGUAGGGUUAGGGUUUUUUGAGACAGAAUGUCAUUAAAUUGCUAAGUUAUUCAGACUAGGUUGAAGUUAGUCAAGCUGGGCUGGACCCUGUCCUUCUGCCUCAGGCUCUCAAGUACGAAGGAUUAUAGCCACUCCUGGCUUAAAAUAAUUUUUAAACUAAAAAUUCAAAAAGUUGUAUAUUAUGUAGGAAGUAAAGUGAGAAAGUUUUAUUUUGCAAAGUUUAGUGCAAAGGCUAAAUUAGGUGUCAUUUGAUGACUGUUCUUCCUUUCCGCUCAGCAGAGGAACUCUUGCACACCUUCUGUUUCCUCCUUACAUUUCCUGUGUUGACAACUCAUCCCACUUUGCCUAAGAAACACCUGUAACUGCUAUGCUCUUCCAGCAGUACAUUUGUGAGUAUCUGAUGAUGCAAUCGAGAGGUUAAAACGAAUCUUCAAAACCUACGAUAUUUUAAGAAGAUAAACUGUGUCUCCACACUUCCCCAUGAUGAAAGUGUAAAUUUCCAUCCCAGCCCUGAAGAGGAGAAUUCAGUACUAUGAGCUCUUUGGACCACCACUUGGCUAAAUUUCCCUCUGGACAUUUCCUAGCUUUGGUUCUACACCUUCUGUACACUGAAGUGUUUCUACCCACAUUGAAGCGGGUAGACUAGUUCCCCUCCCCAAUCUGGUAAUAAACUCAUUUUCCAUUUUUAUGGCUUUUCUCAUAUGUGGUUGUGGGCAGGUGAAUGAACAUGGUAAC
This is a long non-coding RNA of Chinchilla lanigera (long-tailed chinchilla), 2183 nucleotides long. Lineage: Eukaryota; Metazoa; Chordata; Mammalia; Rodentia; Chinchillidae. The record is from Ensembl.